GGGCUCACACAAGCGGUGGAGGAUGUGGCUUAAUUCGAGGCUACGCGAAGAACCUUAUCCUAGAUUUGACAUGCUUGAGAAUCCCUAUGAAAAUAGAGAGUGCCCUUCGGGGAGCUCUUGCACAGGUGCUGCAUGGCUGUCGUCAGCUCGUGUCGUGAGAUGUCGGGUUAAGUCCCUUAACGAGCGAAACCCUUAUCUCUAGUUGCCAGCGGGUAAUGCCGGGGACUCUAGAGAGACUGCCGGUGUCAAACCGGAGGAAGGUGGGGAUGACGUCAAGUCCUCAUGGCCUUUAUGUCUAGGGCUGCACACGUCCUACAAUGGUACGGACAAACGGACGCAAUACCGCGAGGUGGAGCAAAUCCUAGAAACCGUGCCUCAGUUCGGAUUGCAGGCUGCAACUCGCCUGCAUG
RNAcentral lists this ribosomal RNA (410 nucleotides) under uncultured bacterium. RNAcentral describes it as "bacterial SSU rRNA". It matches the Rfam family "Bacterial small subunit ribosomal RNA", at positions 917 to 1322 of the family's 1533-position model. The record is from RNAcentral.